RNAcentral lists this ribosomal RNA (253 nucleotides) under uncultured bacterium. RNAcentral describes it as "partial 16S ribosomal RNA". It matches the Rfam family "Bacterial small subunit ribosomal RNA", at positions 524 to 776 of the family's 1533-position model. The record is from RNAcentral.
UACAGAGGGUGCAAGCGUUGUUCGGAAUCAUUGGGCGUAAAGCGUGUGUAGGCGGUUUGCUAAGUCUGGUGUGAAAGCCCGGAGCUUAACUCCGGAAGUGCACUGGAUACUGGCAAGCUAGAGGACGAGAGAGGGAGGCAGAAUUCCUGGUGUAGGGGUGAAAUCCGUAGAUAUCAGGAGGAACAUCGGAAGCGAAGGCGGCUUCCUGGCUCGUUUCUGACGCUGAGACACGAAAGCGUGGGUAGCAAACAGG